GACGAACGCUGGCGGCGUGCUUAACACAUGCAAGUCGAACGGAAAGGCCCUGCUUUUGUGGGGUUCUCGAGUGGCGAACGGGUGAGUAACACGUGUGUAACCUGCCCUUGACUUUGGGAUAACUUCAGGAAACUGGGGCUAAUACCGGAUAUGAGCUCCUGCUGCAUGGUGGGGGUUGGAAAGUUUCGGCGGUUGGGGAUGGACUCGCGGCUUAUCAGCUUGUUGGUGGGGUAGUGGCUUACCAAGGCUUUGACGGGUAGCCGGCCUGAGAGGGUGACCGGCGACAUUGGGACUAAGAGACGGAGCAGAAGCCAAAGGGAGGCAGCAGGGGGGAAUAUGGCACAAUGGGCGGAAGUGUGAGACAGCGACGCCGGGUGCGGGAAGACGGGCUUCGGGUUGAGAACAGCUGUCGACUGUGACGAAGCGGGAGUGACGGUAAUGGGUAAAGAAGCACCGGCUAACUACGUG
This 468-nucleotide ribosomal RNA is filed under the name uncultured bacterium. RNAcentral describes it as "partial 16S ribosomal RNA". It matches the Rfam family "Bacterial small subunit ribosomal RNA", at positions 28 to 507 of the family's 1533-position model. The record is from RNAcentral.